AGUUAAAAAUUUCAUCCAUUUGUAGUCUUAAAAAGUGGUGUGGUUCAUAGAAUAAUUAGAUAGUGACACAUGGCAUGUCACAUGUACAUCAUACUGAUGUAUAUGGAUCAGUUUUUAACAGUAAAAAUGAAUGGAAUUUAUAACA
Molecule: non-coding RNA, 145 nt
Organism: Gossypium raimondii (Peruvian cotton)
Lineage: Eukaryota; Viridiplantae; Streptophyta; Magnoliopsida; Malvales; Malvaceae
Source: Rfam